UCAUUGAAGAAGACGAUGAGAAGCAGCUUUUGCUUUGCACACCCGAUUUUGGGUCUGUAGCUCAGUUGGUUAGAGCGCACCCCUGAUAAGGGUGAGGUCGGCAGUUCGAAUCUGCCCAGACCCACCAGUUACCUGGUGAAGUUGGUCAGAGCGCGUACGACACCCGGAUACGGGGCCAUAGCUCAGCUGGGAGAGCGCCUGCCUUGCACGCAGGAGGUCAGCGGUUCGAUCCCGCUUGGCUCCACCACUUACUGCUUCUGUUUGAAAGCUUAGAAAUGAGCAUUCCAUCCUGAUUGAAGGGUGCGUGAAUGUUGAUUUCUAGUCUUUGAUUAGAUCGUUCUUUAAAAAUUUGGGUAUGUGAUAGAAAGAAAUAUAGACCGGGCACCUCUUUCACUGGUGCGUGUCCGGGCUAAGGUAAAGUUUGUGAAAUGCAAACUUUCGGCGAAUGUCGUCUUCACAGUAUAACC
RNAcentral lists this transfer RNA (467 nucleotides) under Pseudomonas syringae pv. actinidiae. RNAcentral describes it as "partial 16S-23S ribosomal RNA intergenic spacer". The stretch from base 51 to 124 matches the Rfam family "tRNA". The record is from RNAcentral. Lineage: Bacteria; Pseudomonadati; Pseudomonadota; Gammaproteobacteria; Pseudomonadales; Pseudomonadaceae.